CAAAACAUAUUAUAUAACCAUCUGUUUUCUUCUAAAGAUGAAUUCUGUUAGAUUCAGCCAUUUCUGUCUUCUUGGAAGAGGUCCUAACAUUGCCAACACCCAGCCUCUGUUGGCUAUUCGCACUCGGGACCAGAAGCUCUGAAGAAUCCAGAGCAAAAACUUAUCUUAUUCUGGGGACUUAGAAGAAAAGAGAAACUUUCUCAAGGUGAUGAUGAGGAAUUCAUGCAAAUCAAAACUUCAAAGGAGAGGACCCUGAGCGCCUCCCAUUUUCUACACAUGCUUGAACCAAAGAACUUCCAGACCAGGGCAGGCUGCAGAG
This is a long non-coding RNA of Camelus dromedarius (Arabian camel), 319 nucleotides long. RefSeq lists it as uncharacterized. Lineage: Eukaryota; Metazoa; Chordata; Mammalia; Artiodactyla; Camelidae. The transcript is spliced from 3 exons. The record is from RefSeq and is a predicted model, not a curated record.